GCCAAAAGAUACUGAGAGGUACUGCAACUGCUUCAUCCACCAAACCACGGUCUCUUGCAAGUUGUAGACGCUUGAACUCAACGAUAGCAGCAACUGACAUGCCCAACACAGAAAGGAAAUGUCCGAUUCCAAUUCGCUGUAAGUUGGAAAAUCCCCUUUCAUUUCCAGUAAGCCUCCUUGCAAUUGGAAUAAGGAUCCUAUCAUAGACAUCCCUUGCUCCACAAACAACGUCAUUUGUGCAUAAACAGCAGCAAAUAUUAUUCCAGUUGCCCAUAUGGGGAACAUGCGGAUCAA
This 294-nucleotide unclassified non-coding RNA is filed under the name Hevea brasiliensis (rubber tree). The record is from RNAcentral. Lineage: Eukaryota; Viridiplantae; Streptophyta; Magnoliopsida; Malpighiales; Euphorbiaceae.